AGUGAACGCUGGCGGCAUGCCUAACACAUGCAAGUCGAACGACAGCACCGUGAGUGCUUGCUCUUGCGGGUGGCGCGCGGCGGACGCGUGACUUAUGCAUCGGAUACCUCUUCUACGGGGGUGAUAACGUGGGAUCACUUCUGCUAACACAGCAUAUAUCGUACGGGUGUGGGCAGGCGUUCUUCGCGCUUUUUGCGAUUGUAAGAGCCGAGGUCGGAUGAGCUAGUUGGCGGGGUAAAGGCCUAGCAAGGCGACGCUGCGUAGCUGAUCUGACCGGAUGAUCAGCCACACUGGAACUGAGGCACGGUCCAGACUCCUACGGGAGGCAGCAGUGGGGAAUAUUCGGCAAUGGGCGAAAGCCUGAUCCAGCCACACCGCGUGAGUGAUGAAGGCCUUCGGAUUGUAAAGCCCUGUUGUUAGGAAAGAAAAACAGCAGGUUUAACCCUGGCGGUUCUGACGGUACCGAAAGAAUAAGCACCGGCUAACUACGUG
RNAcentral lists this ribosomal RNA (492 nucleotides) under uncultured bacterium. RNAcentral describes it as "partial 16S ribosomal RNA". It matches the Rfam family "Bacterial small subunit ribosomal RNA", at positions 29 to 507 of the family's 1533-position model. The record is from RNAcentral.